CAGGCGAACUGCGGCGUCUGCUGGCAAAACAUAGCUUCGGUUAUGUCAAUGGCUAUUGGAUUGGUCCAUGAAGCGAAAAAUAGUUUACUGUGUCACUCGUACCGAUAACCGCAUCAGGUCUUCUAGGUAAGUAGCCUAUGGCCAUUGAGGCAUGAUAGUUCAGGGAAUUCGGCCAAUUAGAGCUGUAACUUCGGGAUAAAGCUUGGCUCUGAUGAAAAUCAGAACCGAUUGUUACGCGGAGAGCCCAACUGUUUAAUAAAAACGUAGUGUCGCGCUGUGGUAGUAUAGCCAGUGAACGCGACAUGAAUCCUGCUCAGUGCUGUGUCUGUUAAUAUGGUUCAAGCCAACGAAGCACCGGUAAAUAGCUGGGGUAACUAUGACUCUUAUCAAAGUAGCGAAAUACCUCGUCACUUAAUUAGUGACCUGCAUGAACGGAGCUAUGAGGUUCUCACUGUCCCAAACUGUCUCUCAGCGAACCAACUGUAGUGGGAACGGUCACUAGAUAUCCAGCGGGGAAAGAAGACCCUGUAGAGCUUCACUUUGGUCUAGUCUUGUAUAGUUCCUGCGGGGGUGUAGACUAGGUGGGAGAGCAAUCGAUUCUGAAAAACCACUACCCUGUUUGGAAUUAUGCUUACCUAUCACAAGGAAUAGGACUAGAUAGAAAGUUUGGCUGGGGCGGCACACCUUCGAAAGAGCAGCGAAGGUGUCCUAAGUUGAGCUCAGUGAGGACAGAAAUCUCACGUUGAGGAUAAGGCCAAAAGCUCAAUUUACUGUGCCUUUUUGUACUAGGAUCAGUUACGAAAGUAAGGCCUAACGAUCCCUAAAUAGCCUCAGGUGCGUGAGGAUUGGGGUGACAGACAAGUUACCUCCGGGACAACUGGCUUGUGGCUGCUAAGAGAUCAAAUCAACGCAGCUUUUUGAUUCUUCGAUGUCGGCUCUUCCUAUCCUAGUGAUGUACAAGUUGCUAAGGGUCGGAUUGUUCACCCGUAUUAGGGAU
RNAcentral lists this non-coding RNA (997 nucleotides) under Trichomonas vaginalis G3. RNAcentral describes it as "Eukaryotic large subunit ribosomal RNA". It matches the Rfam family "Eukaryotic large subunit ribosomal RNA", at positions 1735 to 2950 of the family's 3401-position model. The record is from Rfam by way of RNAcentral. Lineage: Eukaryota; Parabasalia; Trichomonadida; Trichomonadidae.